AAAGUACUUUCAGCAGUGAGGAAGGUGGAUAUGUUAAUAGCAUACUCAUUUGACGUUUAGCUGCAGAAGAAGCACCGGCUAACUCCGUGCCAGCAGCCGCGGUAAUACGGAGGGUGCGAGCGUUAAUCGGAAUUACUGGGCGUAAAGCGCAUGCAGGUGGUUUGUUAAGUCAGAUGUGAAAGCCCGGGGCUCAACCUCGGAAUUGCAUUUGAAACUGGCAAACUAGAGUACUGUAGAGGGGGUAGAAUUUCAGGUGUAGCGGUGAAAUGCGUAGAGAUCUGAAGGAAUACCGGUGGCGAAGGCGGCCCCCUGGACAGAUACUGACACUCAGAUGCGAAAGCGUGGGGAGCAAACAGGAUUAGAUACCCUGGUAG
This 374-nucleotide ribosomal RNA is filed under the name uncultured bacterium. RNAcentral describes it as "bacterial SSU rRNA". It matches the Rfam family "Bacterial small subunit ribosomal RNA", at positions 427 to 793 of the family's 1533-position model. The record is from RNAcentral.